Molecule: ribosomal RNA, 585 nt
Filed under: uncultured bacterium
Lineage: Bacteria
Description: partial 16S ribosomal RNA
Rfam family: Bacterial small subunit ribosomal RNA
Source: RNAcentral
UGGGGAAUUUUGGACAAUGGGCGAAAGCCUGAUCCAGCAAUGCCGCGUGUGUGAAGAAGGCCUUCGGGUUGUAAAGCACUUUUGUCCGGAAAGAAAUCCUUGGCUCUAAUACAGCCGGGGGAUGACGGUACCGGAAGAAUAAGCACCGGCUAACUACGUGCCAGCAGCCGCGGUAAUACGUAGGGUGCAAGCGUUAAUCGGAAUUACUGGGCGUAAAGCGUGCGCAGGCGGUUUGCUAAGACCGAUGUGAAAUCCCCGGGCUUAACCUGGGAACUGCAUUCGUGACUGCAAGGCUAGAGUAUGGCAGAGGGGGGUAGAAUUCCACGUGUAGCAGUGAAAUGCGUAGAGAUGUGGAGGAAUACCGAUGGCGAAGGCAGCCCCCUGGGCCAAUACUGACGCUCAUGCACGAAAGCGUGGGGAGCAAACAGGAUUAGAUACCCUGGUAGUCCACGCCCUAAACGAUGUCAACUAGUUGUUGGGGAUUCAUUUCCUUAGUAACGUAGCUAACGCGUGAAGUUGACCGCCUGGGGAGUACGGUCGCAAGAUUAAAACUCAAAUGAAUUGACGGGGUCAUAGCUGUUUCCU